UCUUGGUCAUUUAGAGGAAGUAAAAGUCGUAACAAGGUCUCCGUUGGUGAACCAGCGGAGGGAUCAUUAUAGAGUUUUCUAAACUCCCAACCCAUGUGAACUUACCUUUUGUUGCCUCGGCAGAAGUUAUAGGUCUUCUUAUAGCUGCUGCCGGUGGACCAUUAAACUCUUGUUAUUUUAUGUAAUCUGAGCGUCUUAUUUUAAUAAGUCAAAACUUUCAACAACGGAUCUCUUGGUUCUGGCAUCGAUGAAGAACGCAGCGAAAUGCGAUAAGUAAUGUGAAUUGCAGAAUUCAGUGAAUCAUCGAAUCUUUGAACGCACAUUGCGCCCAUUAGUAUUCUAGUGGGCAUGCCUGUUCGAGCGUCAUUUCAACCCUUAAGCCUAGCUUAGUGUUGGGAAUCUACUUCUCUUAGGAGUUGUAGUUCCUGAAAUACAACGGCGGAUUUGUAGUGAUCCUCUGAGCGUAGUAAUUUUUUUCUCGCUAUUGUUAGGUGCUAUAACUCCCAGCCGCUAAACCCCCAAUUUUUUGUGGGUGACCUCGGAUCAGGUAGGAAUACCCGCUGAACUUAAGCAUAUCAGUAAGCGGAGGAA
This 591-nucleotide ribosomal RNA is filed under the name uncultured Xylariales. RNAcentral describes it as "eukaryotic LSU rRNA". The stretch from base 213 to 366 matches the Rfam family "5.8S ribosomal RNA". The record is from RNAcentral. Lineage: Eukaryota; Fungi; Ascomycota; Sordariomycetes; Xylariales.